GAUGAAGGACGUAGCAAAAUGCGAUAAGUAAUGUGAAUUGCAGAAUUCAGUGAAUCAUCGAAUCUUUGAACGCACAUUGCGCCCGCUGGUAUUCCGGCGGGCAUGCCUGUUCGAGCGUCAUUUCAACCCUCAAACCCCCGGGUUUGGUGUUGGGGAUCGGCUCUGCCUCACGGCGGUGCCGCCCCCGAAAUACAUUGGCGGUCUCGCUGCAGCCUCCAUUGCGUAGUAGCUAACACCUCGCAACUGGAACGCGGCGCGGCCAUGCCGUAAAACCCCAACUUCUGAAUGUUGACCUCGGAUCAGGUAGGAAUACCCGCUGAACUUAAGCAUAUCAAUAAGCGGAGGA
RNAcentral lists this unclassified non-coding RNA (346 nucleotides) under soil metagenome. RNAcentral's name for it is "partial contains 5.8S ribosomal RNA, internal transcribed spacer 2, and large subunit ribosomal RNA". The stretch from base 1 to 120 matches the Rfam family "5.8S ribosomal RNA", at positions 35 to 154 of the family's 154-position model. The record is from RNAcentral.